GAUGAACGCUGGCGGCGUGCUUAACACAUGCAAGUCGAACGGGAUCCAAGAAGUGCUUGCACUUUUUGGUGAGAGUGGCGAACGGGUGAGUAACACGUGAGUAACCUGUCCUUUUCUUUGGGAUAAGCUUCCGAAAGGGUGUUUAAUACCUUAUGUUCUGUCUGCCUCGCAUGGGGUGGGUGGGAAAGAUUUUUUCGGUAAAGGGUGGGCUCGCGGUCUAUCAGCUUGUUGGUGGGGUGAUGGCCUACCAAGGCUUUGACGGGUAGCCGGCCUGAGAGGGUGGUCGGUCACAUUGGGACUGAGAUACGGCCCAGACUCCUGCGGGAGGCAGCAGUGGGGGAUAUUGCACAAUGGGCGAAAGCCUGAUGCAGCGACGCCGCGUGGGGGAUGAAGGCCUUCGGGUUGUAAACUUCUUUUGCUCUGAACAAGGCGCACCGUGGGGUGUGUUGAGUGUAGGGGUUGAUUAGCGCCGGCUAACUACGUGCCAGCAGCCGCGGUAAUACGUAGGGCGCGAGCGUUGUCCGGAAUUAUUGGGCGUAAAGGGCUUGUAGGUGGCUGGUUGCGUCUGUCGUGAAAGCUCAUGGCUUAACUGUGGGUUUGCGGUGGGUACGGGCUGGCUUUGAGUGCAGUAGGGGAGACUGGAAUUCCUGGUGUAGCGUUGGAAUGCGCAGAUAUCAGGAAGAACACCGGUGGCGAAGGCGGGUCUCUGGGCCGUUACUGACGCUGGGAGCGAAACUUGGGGAGCGAACAGG
Molecule: ribosomal RNA, 752 nt
Filed under: uncultured Varibaculum sp.
Lineage: Bacteria; Bacillati; Actinomycetota; Actinomycetes; Actinomycetales; Actinomycetaceae
Description: bacterial SSU rRNA
Rfam family: Bacterial small subunit ribosomal RNA
Source: RNAcentral